CCCUGCUGAUUUCUCCAUGACUUUUGCCUCUUACCGUUGGGAAAAAAAAGCAUUGUUAUCCUUGAAAAAAAGCACUGUUACUGUUAAUGGAUUGGAACGUUGGCCAACGGCUAUGAAAGAAUGUCUGAAAAAACACUGUUAUCGUUGGUGCUUUCAGUUUCACCUCUUAUAUAAUAAGAUAAACAGUUUAAUUAAUUUGUCUGUGGCUCUGUGUUUGCUAGAAGUCCCACGCCCACCGGGAUGACCAGGUGUAGGUAGAGACCAACCACUGUUAUUUAUCGCUGUGAUUCUUGGAAAUCUUUUUCCUCUUUCCAGUGAAAUCUCCAUCUAGUGCAUUGCGUGUGAGCCACUGCUUAGAUUUGUAGUCAAUGGAUUGGAUGCUGUGUCGGAUCUGGUCUUCCUCUACUCAAGAAAGCAGUCAUUUUGACUGAAAUUCAGAGGACAAGAAAUACUUCUGGAGGCUGUAUUAUUUCUCAUAAUUCCAUUUCACCUGCACAUGUUGAAUAUGGCAGUCAUACAGUAGGUGUCUCGAAGCAAUUCGCUCUUUCUAUCAUAAGGAACGAUCUGCGCUCUCAUUCUAAAUCCUCUAUGAUUUUUCUCGAGGGAUUCAAUAGAUUGCUUCACAAUAUUAAUCUUUAUCUUGUUCGGGAGGACAAUACAAAUCAUCUUUAGCUUGGCCUUCAACUUACCAUUGACUCGGGGGAUGACCAGGAGAGGAGACACAUACUGAUCACUUCAAAAACAUUCCGAUCAGCUUGCAUUGAAAACAUGAGAUGCUGAUAAUGUCUAGAUCUGGCUCAAGCAUUUGAUGUGCCAGAGAUAAUUGGCAUUCUCUGAUAUUAUUGAUAUAUACAUAAAUAUCUUUGCCAUGUGUGUAGAGUGAUGCUGGAGUAUCUCAAUAUUUAUUGCAGUCAAUGCAAAACUAAUUUUAAUUUUAUAGUUGUACUUUUGAAUCAAAUUGAUCAAGUAAUUUGUUGUUUAAUAUAAUUUUUUUAUUUGGGAGGGGUUGAGUUUGCCCCCUCCUCUAGGUUGGAAGGAAUUGUCAUUGGUCAUGAUCAUUCUCUUCAGUCUAAUGUCUUCAUAUUGAUUUUUAUAUUUUAUAUUAUAUAAAAUUCAACCUUACUUUUUAUUUAUAA
Long non-coding RNA from Cryptomeria japonica (Japanese cedar), 1136 nucleotides. RefSeq lists it as uncharacterized. The record is from RefSeq and is a predicted model, not a curated record. Lineage: Eukaryota; Viridiplantae; Streptophyta; Pinopsida; Cupressales; Cupressaceae. The transcript is spliced from 3 exons.